This 1397-nucleotide ribosomal RNA is filed under the name Lactiplantibacillus plantarum. RNAcentral describes it as "bacterial SSU rRNA". It matches the Rfam family "Bacterial small subunit ribosomal RNA", at positions 68 to 1438 of the family's 1533-position model. The record is from RNAcentral. Lineage: Bacteria; Bacillati; Bacillota; Bacilli; Lactobacillales; Lactobacillaceae.
GGUAUUGAUUGGUGCUUGCAUCAUGAUUUACAUUUGAGUGAGUGGCGAACUGGUGAGUAACACGUGGGAAACCUGCCCAGAAGCGGGGGAUAACACCUGGAAACAGAUGCUAAUACCGCAUAACAACUUGGACCGCAUGGUCCGAGCUUGAAAGAUGGCUUCGGCUAUCACUUUUGGAUGGUCCCGCGGCGUAUUAGCUAGAUGGUGGGGUAACGGCUCACCAUGGCAAUGAUACGUAGCCGACCUGAGAGGGUAAUCGGCCACAUUGGGACUGAGACACGGCCCAAACUCCUACGGGAGGCAGCAGUAGGGAAUCUUCCACAAUGGACGAAAGUCUGAUGGAGCAACGCCGCGUGAGUGAAGAAGGGUUUCGGCUCGUAAAACUCUGUUGUUAAAGAAGAACAUAUCUGAGAGUAACUGUUCAGGUAUUGACGGUAUUUAACCAGAAAGCCACGGCUAACUACGUGCCAGCAGCCGCGGUAAUACGUAGGUGGCAAGCGUUGUCCGGAUUUAUUGGGCGUAAAGCGAGCGCAGGCGGUUUUUUAAGUCUGAUGUGAAAGCCUUCGGCUCAACCGAAGAAGUGCAUCGGAAACUGGGAAACUUGAGUGCAGAAGAGGACAGUGGAACUCCAUGUGUAGCGGUGAAAUGCGUAGAUAUAUGGAAGAACACCAGUGGCGAAGGCGGCUGUCUGGUCUGUAACUGACGCUGAGGCUCGAAAGUAUGGGUAGCAAACAGGAUUAGAUACCCUGGUAGUCCAUACCGUAAACGAUGAAUGCUAAGUGUUGGAGGGUUUCCGCCCUUCAGUGCUGCAGCUAACGCAUUAAGCAUUCCGCCUGGGGAGUACGGCCGCAAGGCUGAAACUCAAAGGAAUUGACGGGGGCCCGCACAAGCGGUGGAGCAUGUGGUUUAAUUCGAAGCUACGCGAAGAACCUUACCAGGUCUUGACAUACUAUGCAAAUCUAAGAGAUUAGACGUUCCCUUCGGGGACAUGGAUACAGGUGGUGCAUGGUUGUCGUCAGCUCGUGUCGUGAGAUGUUGGGUUAAGUCCCGCAACGAGCGCAACCCUUAUUAUCAGUUGCCAGCAUUAAGUUGGGCACUCUGGUGAGACUGCCGGUGACAAACCGGAGGAAGGUGGGGAUGACGUCAAAUCAUCAUGCCCCUUAUGACCUGGGCUACACACGUGCUACAAUGGAUGGUACAACGAGUUGCGAACUCGCGAGAGUAAGCUAAUCUCUUAAAGCCAUUCUCAGUUCGGAUUGUAGGCUGCAACUCGCCUACAUGAAGUCGGAAUCGCUAGUAAUCGCGGAUCAGCAUGCCGCGGUGAAUACGUUCCCGGGCCUUGUACACACCGCCCGUCACACCAUGAGAGUUUGUAACACCCAAAGUCGGUGGGGUAA